This 597-nucleotide long non-coding RNA is filed under the name Cyanistes caeruleus (blue tit). Its description in RNAcentral is "lncRNA (ENSCCEG00000011697.1)". Lineage: Eukaryota; Metazoa; Chordata; Aves; Passeriformes; Paridae. The record is from RNAcentral.
AUGGAAUGUUGGCACCGGUUGCCAGGGGCACUCCAAGGUUCUGUUGACACGGGGUCUGUUGAGCCAGUUGAUGGACUCUCUGCAGCGCAGCAGACGCAGAGUGUCCGUCUUCUCCAUCCCAGCUGGGAAUACAGAGGCGUUUGUUUAUAUUUGCGAUCCAAACUUUGGACUGAUUGUACAGGUGUUUGUCCCACUCACUUGUCCAGUGCUUUUAGAACACCAAACACCAUGAGCUCACGAAAGCGCCCUGGAGAUACGCUUGACACGGGUCCAGCAGAGAAACAGAGCAGGCUGCUGACCUCCGGAGUCGGUGAAAGUCUGCAGACAUAUCCAAGAGACCUCGAGGAAAGAGGUUCACCUGCUUUGGAGCCUGGUAAGAACAGAAACUGCUGCUGGACGGUUGGAGAUCAUUGGAACAUGUGCUUUUGUCAGUUCCUAGGCCCUUUUCUGGGGAGAAAGGGAACCUUGGGGUUGAGGAAGGUGGGCUUGAUGCCUGCUAUGGCAUCCCUAAACAACAAGCCCACUGACAGCUGUUUUGGUUUCUUACUGAACUCUGCCCAUUGGCCUCUAGUGGGAGAUGAGCUGUGUAGCAAAGGC